UACAGAGGUCUCAAGCGUUGUUCGGAUUCAUUGGGCGUAAAGGGUGCGUAGGCGGCGCGGUAAGUCGGGUGUGAAAUCUCAGGGCUCAACCCUGAAACUGCAUUCGAUACUGCGCGGCUAGAGUGCUGGAGGGGAGACUGGAAUUUACGGUGUAGCAGUGAAAUGCGUAGAUAUCGUAAGGAAGACCAGUGGCGAAGGCGAGUCUCUGGACAGCAACUGACGCUGAGGCACGAAGGCCAGGGGAGCAAACGGG
Molecule: ribosomal RNA, 253 nt
Filed under: uncultured bacterium
Lineage: Bacteria
Description: partial 16S ribosomal RNA
Rfam family: Bacterial small subunit ribosomal RNA
Source: RNAcentral